GUAACACUCAGCGCGAGCGUCCGCAGCUUCAUUCUUCAAGGGAUGACAGCAUUGUGAUCACAAACCUUCAAAGGAUCUUCUGUCUUCAAGGCAAAAUGUUUUUAAAAAGCCAAAAAGUAGUCAUAAGAAACUGCUAACAGAAUAACGAGGAAUGUAAAAUGUCAGCCUUCACCUAUUAAUAAUUGUUACAGCAUAUUACGUCUCUGACUGAAUCUUCUACAAACAAGCAAUUAAGGUAAUCUUCAUCACAGGAGGUAGUUUGAAGAAGUCAAAGCCACAACGUAUUUCAAACAGCUGGGGAACAGCAGAAAUACUGGAGGAAAAAGCCAACAUCCUGUGAGCUGGUGUUAUUGUAGAAUUUAAAAAUAACUGUCGAGAUGGAACACAAUCAUUUAUGAGGCACCAAAUUAGAUUCUUGGGUCGCUACAGUUGUUCAGAGGACAGAACGGAGAUUUCUAGAUGUUACCUUGGCAAUGAAGUAAAGCAAUUGCUUGUGGACGUUGUUAGCUUGUGAAGGUGGUCAAGAUUCAAAUUCGCAGGUCAUCAUAGAGGGGAAAAUAAAACUUCCAAAGUGUU
This is a long non-coding RNA of Homo sapiens (human), 576 nucleotides long. RefSeq lists it as uncharacterized. NCBI's taxonomy places the organism in Eukaryota, Metazoa, Chordata, Mammalia, Primates, Hominidae. The transcript is spliced from 2 exons. The record is from RefSeq and is a predicted model, not a curated record.